Molecule: non-coding RNA, 488 nt
Organism: Pelobates cultripes (western spadefoot toad)
Lineage: Eukaryota; Metazoa; Chordata; Amphibia; Anura; Pelobatidae
Source: the annotation of a GenBank genome assembly
GUUUGAAGAAAAUGUCGACGUGGAUGCUUUGGGAGCAUUGCGCCUCUCUCAUACAAUUAUCACCACGAUGCUUCACUUCAAUCUGCACAAUUCUUGGCAAAUAAACUUGUACAAAAGGCUAGUUGUUUACUUGGCUGGCAGAGAUCAAUGCAGAGCGGAUGAGGCUUUACUUUUUUCAUUAAUUCUAUUACUGCCAUAUGGUAACCAAGUCCAAACAUUAUAAACUACACUUUGGAAGGCUAAAUUUAACCCAAUGACUCCAGGAAAGAUUUACUGUAACAAAAUGCUGUUGGCAUUAAGGAGAUUGAGAGCUACAAUCAGCUGAAUAACCUACCAACCUACACAUUCCUUAAAGUAGUAUUACACUCUGGCAACAAGUAAAUCCAUAUGUAGUAUGCACGGCUGCAUGUCAGCCAAUUUCCUUUUUAAAAUCAGGUUUAAACUCUCAUAUCUGUGGUACAUCUUGUUGCAUUUCUAAUAAAUUGACA